UACGGAAGGCAGCAGUGGGGAAUAUUGCACAAUGGGCGAAAGCCUGAUGCAGCUAUGCCGCGUGUAUGAAGAAGGCCUUAGGGUUGUAAAGUACUUUCAUCGGGGAGGAAAAAACAAAACUAAUAAUUUUAUUUCUUGACGUUACCCGAAAAAGAAGCACCGGCUAACUCCGUGCCAGCAGCCGCGGUAAUACGGAGGGUGCUAGCGUUAAUCAGAAUUACUGGGCGUAAAGAGCACGUAGGUGGUUUUUUUAAGUCAGAUGUGAAAUCCCCUGGGCUUAACCUAGGAACUGCAUUUUGAAACUGAAAUACUAGAGUAUCGUAGAGGGAGGUAGAAUUCUAGGUGUAGCGGUGAAAUGCGUAGAUAUCUGGAGGAAUACCUGUGGCGAAAGCGGCCUCCUAAACGAAUACUGACACUGAGGUGCGAAAAGCGUGGGGAGCAAACAGGGAUUAGAUACC
RNAcentral lists this ribosomal RNA (458 nucleotides) under uncultured bacterium. RNAcentral describes it as "bacterial SSU rRNA". It matches the Rfam family "Bacterial small subunit ribosomal RNA", at positions 340 to 786 of the family's 1533-position model. The record is from RNAcentral.